ACUGACUGCUCAGAGGGAUUGG
This 22-nucleotide microRNA is filed under the name Gallus gallus (chicken). RNAcentral describes it as "gga-miR-1738". The record is from miRBase by way of RNAcentral. Lineage: Eukaryota; Metazoa; Chordata; Aves; Galliformes; Phasianidae.